CGGACGGGUGAGUAAUGCCUAGGAAUCUGCCUGGUAGUGGGGGACAACGUUUCGAAAGGAACGCUAAUACCGCAUACGUCCUACGGGAGAAAGCAGGGGACCUUCGGGCCUUGCGCUAUCAGAUGAGCCUAGGUCGGAUUAGCUAGUUGGCGGGGUAAAGGCCCACCAAGGCGACGAUCCGUAGCUGGUCUGAGAGGAUGAUCAGCCACACUGGAACUGAGACACGGUCCAGACUCCUACGGGAGGCAGCAGG
This 253-nucleotide ribosomal RNA is filed under the name uncultured Pseudomonas sp. Its description in RNAcentral is "partial 16S ribosomal RNA". It matches the Rfam family "Bacterial small subunit ribosomal RNA", at positions 99 to 354 of the family's 1533-position model. Lineage: Bacteria; Pseudomonadati; Pseudomonadota; Gammaproteobacteria; Pseudomonadales; Pseudomonadaceae. The record is from RNAcentral.